CGAGCGGUAUUUGUUCUUCGGAACAGAGAGAGCGGCGUACGGGUGCGGAACACGUGUGCAACCUGCCUUUAUCUGGGGGAUAGCCUUUCGAAAGGAAGAUUAAUACCCCAUAAUAUAUUGAAUGGCAUCAUUCGAUAUUGAAAACUCCGGUGGAUAGAGAUGGGCACGCGCAAGAUUAGAUAGUUGGUGAGGUAACGGCUCACCAAGUCUGCGAUCUUUAGGGGGCCUGAGAGGGUGAUCCCCCACACUGGUACUGAGACACGGACCAGACUCCUACGGGAGGCAGCAGUGAGGAAUAUUGGACAAUGGGUGAGAGCCUGAUCCAGCCAUCCCGCGUGAAGGACGACGGCCCUAUGGGUUGUAAACUUCUUUUGUAUAGGGAUAAACCUACUCUCGUGAGAGUAGCUGAAGGUACUAUACGAAUAAGCACCGGCUAACUCCGUGCCAGCAGCCGCGGUAAUACGGAGGGUGCAAGCGUUAUCCGGAUUUAUUGGGUUUAAAGGGUCCGUAGGCGGAUCUGUAAGUCAGUGGUGAAAUCUCACAGCUUAACUGUGAAACUGCCAUUGAUACUGCAGGUCUUGAGUGUUAUUGAAGUAGCUGGAAUAAGUAGUGUAGCGGUGAAAUGCAUAGAUAUUACUUAGAACACCAAUUGCGAAGGCAGGUUACUAAGCAACAACUGACGCUGAUGGACGAAAGCGUGGGGAGCGAACAGGAUUAGAUACCCUGGUAGUCCACGCCGUAAACGAUGCUAACUCGUUUUUGGGGCUUCGGCUUCAGAGACUAAGCGAAAGUGAUAAGUUAGCCACCUGGGGAGUACGAACGCAAGUUUGAAACUCAAAGGAAUUGACGGGGGCCCGCACAAGCGGUGGAUUAUGUGGUUUAAUUCGAUGAUACGCGAGGAACCUUACCAAGGCUUAAAUGGGAAAUGACAGGUUUAGAAAUAGACUUUUCUUCGGACAUUUUUCAAGGUGCUGCAUGGUUGUCGUCAGCUCGUGCCGUGAGGUGUUAGGUUAAGUCCUGCAACGAGCGCAACCCCUGUCACUAGUUGCCAUCAUUAAGUUGGGGACUCUAGUGAGACUGCCUACGCAAGUAGAGAGGAAGGUGGGGAUGACGUCAAAUCAUCACGGCCCUUACGCCUUGGGCCACACACGUAAUACAAUGGCCAGUACAGAGGGCAGCUACACAGCGAUGUGAUGCAAAUCUCGAAAGCUGGUCUCAGUUCGGAUUGGAGUCUGCAACUCGACUCUAUGAAGCUGGAAUCGCUAGUAAUCGCGCAUCAGCCAUGGCGCGGUGAAUACGUUCCCGGGCCUUGUACACACCGCCCGUCAAGCCAUGGAAGUCUGGGGUACCUGAAGUCGGUGACCGUAAUAGGAGCUGCCUAGGGUAAAACAGGUAACU
This 1398-nucleotide ribosomal RNA is filed under the name Chryseobacterium tructae. RNAcentral describes it as "16S ribosomal RNA". It matches the Rfam family "Bacterial small subunit ribosomal RNA". The record is from RNAcentral. Lineage: Bacteria; Pseudomonadati; Bacteroidota; Flavobacteriia; Flavobacteriales; Weeksellaceae.